RNAcentral lists this ribosomal RNA (158 nucleotides) under Pleosporales sp. r415. Its description in RNAcentral is "5.8S ribosomal RNA". It matches the Rfam family "5.8S ribosomal RNA". From Rfam's summary of the family: 5.8S ribosomal RNA (5.8S rRNA) is a component of the large subunit of the eukaryotic ribosome. RNAcentral also lists the same sequence under 1 other name. The record is from RNAcentral. Lineage: Eukaryota; Fungi; Ascomycota; Dothideomycetes; Pleosporales.
CAACUUUCAACAAUGGAUCUCUUGGCUCUGGCAUCGAUGAAGAACGCAGCGAAAUGCGAUAAGUAGUGUGAAUUGCAGAAUUCAGUGAAUCAUCGAAUCUUUGAACGCACAUUGCGCCCUUUGGUAUUCCAUUGGGCAUGCCUGUUCGAGCGUCAUUU